Non-coding RNA from Limnohabitans sp. 103DPR2, 97 nucleotides. It matches the Rfam family "Bacterial small signal recognition particle RNA". Rfam says of the family: The signal recognition particle (SRP) is a universally conserved ribonucleoprotein involved in the co-translational targeting of proteins to membranes. Archaeal SRP consists of a 7S RNA and homologues of the eukaryotic SRP19 and SRP54 proteins. In most bacteria, the SRP consists of a 4.5S RNA and the Ffh protein (a homologue of the eukaryotic SRP54 protein). The record is from Rfam. Lineage: Bacteria; Pseudomonadati; Pseudomonadota; Betaproteobacteria; Burkholderiales; Comamonadaceae.
GACGGGCCUUCCCGCAUGGUUAAGCGGCCAACCGAGUCAGGUGGGGAACCAAGCAGCUCUAACUGCGGCGCCAGUGCCGGGGUCAAGGCUCGUCACC